CCAUUAUCCUUGCUUGUUAGAUCACUUUUGUUUCUCCUUCUUUAUUUUGAGAUAGAGGAAGGGAGUCUUGUUGUAGGAAAAGACAAGGAACCUAGAAAUCUAGUUUUUAUUUUUUUACUUAUAAAAUUUUUGAAAGGCUGGAUAUCUUAAAAAAUAAUACUACUCAAGACCGAGUUUUGGUCAUCAGUCAGUUUUGGAAUCUUGAAAAACCAAAAGAC
This 218-nucleotide long non-coding RNA is filed under the name Elaeis guineensis (African oil palm). Its description in RNAcentral is "long non-coding RNA (EGUI_LNC020478)". Lineage: Eukaryota; Viridiplantae; Streptophyta; Magnoliopsida; Arecales; Arecaceae. The record is from RNAcentral.